This 94-nucleotide microRNA precursor is filed under the name Sorghum bicolor (sorghum). RNAcentral describes it as "MIR5387 microRNA precursor family". It matches the Rfam family "MIR5387 microRNA precursor family". The record is from Rfam by way of RNAcentral. Lineage: Eukaryota; Viridiplantae; Streptophyta; Magnoliopsida; Poales; Poaceae.
UUGUAAUACGAACCGGUGCUAAAGGGUCUCUGCCUCGACAGCACCUGUCAGUAGCCGUUGGGCAGGGCCCUUUAACACCGAUUCAUGUUACGAA